UUCAUUAAUUACUACAUAUUUUCUACACUCAUAAUAUUUGCCAGCUCGCUAUAUAAUCAACUUAAAUCAGUUAAAUCCAUCAUGCAAUGCAUUUCCUUUCAAUUUUUUGUGAUAAACUAAUAGAUAAUUGACUAAAUAAACAUCCUGCAAAGUUUCAAUAAAAAUUUCCAAGUUUUUCUUACAAUUUCCGUGAUUUUUAUUCAAUUUUUAUCGAUAUCGAUAAUAUCCCGAUAUUUCCAUCGAAAUUUCCGUGUUUUUGGACUACUGAUAUUUCCGAUAUAAUCGAUAUUUUAAACCAUGCUUCUCCUUCUACAUUGGAAACAAUUUGGUGUGCAACGGUGCAUAAAUGAGGUGCAAUUAUAUGCUACUUUUAGAAAGUAAUUUAAGUUUUUUUAGUAUUUACUUGCAUAUCUAUAAAUAAUUGGUUUUAAAAAUAAAUCUAUUAAAAACGUUUCACUAUUUUAAAAAACACUUUUAAACAAAUUCAACAUAAAAAUGAGACGAAUUGCUGUGAAUGUAAAUAAAGUGCAAGUUAACUGAUAUUUAAGAGGGAGAGGGAGGAGAGAAGAACAGGCUUUUCCGUAUGAAAAGCUAAAGUGAGCGAGUCAAAUCUUUCUUGUCGGUAAUCAGCAACAAAGCAUUGUCGCCAAGCAAAAGAUAUAUGACGGUCGAAAAUCCAUUUAAGCUUGCCUAUCGUGGUCAUCAGAUCAGCCUAUUUAGGGUCAUUUUGGGGUUUUUCUUUUUCUUUUUACAGACAAUAUUAUCAGAUCAGCCUAUUUAGGGUCAUUUUGGGGUUUUUCUUUUUCUUUUUACAGACAAUAUUAUCUAUAUUAAGGUGGCAUGGGAGGGGUUAGUAAUAAUAUGAUUCAAAUUUGUCUUUAGUGAGAAUCAAACUACUUCUCAAUUACAAAUAAAGAAAAAUACUAAUAAACCGUAGUAUUAAAUGGCAAAAUUUGAACUUUUGGAUGCGAUGAUUACCUCUAUAUGGUAAUUGAUAGAUCAAGGACUUGAGCAUCCUUUUUCUUUCCUUUUUUCUUGAUGGGAUUUUUCUUUCCUUGUUUUCCUAUCGACCUUGUAAGCUGAAACAUGAUAUGAACAUUACUGCCCUUGAUUCAUCCUCUUUAAAUUCAACGUUUGAAUAAGAUAUUUUGUUCCAACCAAAUGAAAAGAAAGAAAAAACAGCGAAAGAAUAAAGAUGUUUUGUUCUAGAUGGUUGAACUAGUUUCACAUGAGUGCACGUAUAAACAUUUCGAACACCGCCACAUGCGAUUGUUAAUAAUUGUUUGACCACAUGUACAAGAAAAAGUUACGAGUUUAAAUCUUAUGAACGGCAGUUGUUAAUUGCUAUUUAUAUUACUUAGAAAUAAGAUAGAGAGAAAUUCAACUAUUUUUAUGACCCAAAUUUAGGGGUAUAUUCAAUUGGGAUUUUGAGAGAUUUUAAUUGUUUUCAUAAGUUCAAUAGUAUUCAAUCAUGAUUUUAAGUAAUUCUCUAAAAACCUAGGUGUAUUCAAUUAGAAUUUUAAAAGAGUUUAUAACAUUUCAGGUGUAUUCAAUUAAAAUUUGAUUUUAAAGGAUUUUAAAAAGCUAGGGAAUUCGAGAGAAUUGAAGAAAUUUCAAAGUAUAUUUUAAAUUUUCUCAAAUUUCAUAUCUUUCCCUAAGAAUUUGAGGAAAUUCACAUAAAAUUUUACCUAAAAUCUCUAAAAAUUAAUUAACUAUAUCUAAAUUCAUGAAUUUAAAAAUUCAUUGAAAUUCCUCCAAAUUGCAAUUGAAUACACCCUCAAAUCGUAAAUUUUUUAAUGGUGCACUUGGAAUAAAGUAUAUGUUUCCUAAGAAUCUAGUAUGCACAUGAACAACCAGUCUAGAGCAAUUCCUGCCGUUGUUGCAAUUUGACUUUGAUUUGUUCCAAAGUCCAUGACUCCUUUGGUCCAUCACACAAAUUAGGCAGGCAUCAAAAAACCAAAAUUCACGAUGCCUUGUAACACGCAACUUAAUAUUACGGUUUAUAAGUAUUUUUCUUAACUUAUAAGUGAAAAAAUUUAAGUUUGAUUUUUGCUAAAGGCAAAUUUGAACCACACUAUUGCUAGUCCAUUGUGAGGUUUAACCCACUUCUCCACCUCUUUAGUGUAAAUAAUGAAGUUUUCGUAUAUAUACAUGUAUGGCGACCUAUGUUUAUAUUCGUCAAGUCUUUAUUCAAUUAGAUGUUAAUGUAAAUAAAACCAUAACUAUGCAACCAUGUUCCUAAAUUCCUAAUAAUUAACCCCAAAAUAGCAUUUCCAAAUUAUAAGAAAGCCCAUUAUUUGGGGUUUUAGAAAUUAUUAUCAUUAUUAGUGGUAUUCAAUCAGAAUUUAAAUUGUCCUUUUUAAGAGGAAAAAAUUCACACCUUUUUGGAUUUUUUUAUUAGUAUUCCACAAAUUGUUAUAAAAAUUAUUAUUAAAUGAAUGUUGUACUCUUUUAUGAAAUAACUAUUUAAACCCCUUUAAGAUUUUUAAAAAAUAAAAAAUCCAAAUGUUAAAAAAACUUAUAUUUAUCAUGAGGCAAUACAUCAACAUCAAUCUAAGAUAACAACAAUUGUUUAAAAGCAACCAAAUUAGGUGAAGUAAAGCAACCAAAUUAGUUGAGGAAUAAAUUCAAUGUGAAGAAACCCUAAAAUUCCUAAUUGACAAAGAGCGUGGGGUGUGACAGUAGUAUUGAAAUAUGUAAAAUGUAUUAAGAUAAAUUUUAAUCUAAAAAAUAUAU
Molecule: long non-coding RNA, 2736 nt
Filed under: Malus domestica (apple)
Lineage: Eukaryota; Viridiplantae; Streptophyta; Magnoliopsida; Rosales; Rosaceae
Description: long non-coding RNA (MDOM_LNC002626)
Source: RNAcentral